GCAGAAUAAGCAGGCACACCCAAAACAAACACUUCGAAACCACAGGACACCACAACCCAGUGGGCCCGAGUCAAUGUUGUUCGAGCUGUGGAUCUAACAGUAGUAAAGUGAGAAUUUGAUGAGCGAUCUCCCCAACGUAUAUUGUGCCUAACUUUCUCUGCCCGACCUUCUUUCUCCAGGCUAGAACAGAUCCCACCAGAACUGCUAAGCUUCUCAACGAGAUUUUGAAAUGUGUUGCUAAUAGACCAAUGGAUAAGCAAGCAAACAAACAACAGUCGUGAAAAUAAUUGCCUGAUCUCACAAUCUGUGGUGGAGUUAAAUGUAUAUUUACAAUAAAAAUAGUGUAAAAUAUAAA
Non-coding RNA from Chiloscyllium plagiosum (whitespotted bambooshark), 355 nucleotides. The record is from RefSeq and is a predicted model, not a curated record. NCBI's taxonomy places the organism in Eukaryota, Metazoa, Chordata, Chondrichthyes, Orectolobiformes, Hemiscylliidae.